Molecule: long non-coding RNA, 232 nt
Organism: Amblyraja radiata (thorny skate)
Lineage: Eukaryota; Metazoa; Chordata; Chondrichthyes; Rajiformes; Rajidae
Exons: 3
Source: RefSeq, a predicted model, not a curated record
GGGAACACAAGUCUCACAGCUUAACGCUGAUAGAAGAAGCAAUUGAAUUCUACAAGGAACAGGUGAAAUCUUCUUUCGAAUCUCUCACAGAAAUGGAAUCAGAGAUCCAGAAAAUGGAGCAGGAACAGAAAAAGAGCAUUUCUGGAGUUCAGGAAGAGUCACACAACCUUCAGUCACUGAUCACAUCCCAGUUUGCUGAACUGCACCAGAUUCUCACUGAGAAAGAGCAGCG